GAAAUGCGAUAACUAGUGUGAAUUGCAGAAUUCCGUGAAUCAUCGAGUCUUUGAACGCACAUUGCGCCCCCUGGUAUUCCGGGGGGCAUGCCUGUCCGAGCGUCAUUGCUGCCCAUCAAGCACGGCUUGUGUGUUGGGUCGUCGUCCCCUCUCCGGGGGGGACGGGCCCAAAGGCAGCGGCGGCACCGCGUCCGAUCCUCGAGCGUAUGGGGCUUUGUCACCCGCUCUGUAGGCCCGGCCGGCGCUUGCCGAACGCAAAUCAAUCUUUUUCCAGGUUGACCUCGGAUCAGGUAGGGAUACCCGCUGAACUUAAGC
Molecule: unclassified non-coding RNA, 315 nt
Filed under: plant metagenome
Description: partial contains 5.8S ribosomal RNA, internal transcribed spacer 2, and large subunit ribosomal RNA
Rfam family: 5.8S ribosomal RNA (bases 1-105)
Source: RNAcentral